UAUUGCUGGCAUCAGUAUUCAGAAAACAGCCCGCUGAUUAUUAAAACAGAUCAAUAAAAUGCUCUGCAAUGCUGCCAUCUAGUGACUUUCAUUUUCAUAUACAGCCGUUUUCCCCCAAAACUAUUUUUAGAGCACUUGUCAUUUGGAGAAACCCAGGCACAGGUUUAUCGGGUUUCCAUUAUCGGAGGAAAAACUGAUAAUGAUUCUUACAGAUAUUACAUGGUUGCGAUAAUAUCGGUCGGCCGAUAACAUCGUACAUCUCUACUUCAUUUGUACGACCUUGUUACCAAUCCUCUGCCCCAUAUAUUUACACAUCGGUUAAUGUGUAACCAAUACACUUCUGGUUGGUUAGUACUUUGCCACUGAAAUAUUCUACUGGGAAAUGAGGGAGGACUGAACACUGUCUUCCUCUGAAGCGGAGAGUCAUAUUUCUGAGCGUCUGGCAGCAUCCCACUCCUCCACCCUCGGCCUCUCCAUUCAUACGAGUGAGGCAGAGGAGGAGGAAGACUCGAGAGGGGCUACAGAAAAAGAGCACUUCAGGGAUGAAGCUGUACGUCAACAUACAACACACAGCCUGGCCUAAUUUGUUGACCACCCCCCACCACGUAAUGGACUUGUGACCUCAGCGUGGGCUACUUUUCCAGCUGCUGCAUGGCACAGAAACCCAGAGGCAGCAUUUCCACGGAUAUUAGAUAUAUAUACAUAUAUACAUAUAUAAAUAUAUACAUAUAUAAAUAUAUUAAAAUAUGUGUAUUUGUUCAAUAUAUGACAACCUUUUACAUAAAACUACAUUUUAUUUUCAUAAUCCAUGUUUUUUUUUUAAAUUAUAUCAGUCAAAAUAACAGUUAAUAAAUGAAACCAGCCACAUAUCAGCUGAUGUUAAAACUAACCAAAAACAUUCAAAUAUGACUCUUUAAUGGGGUUAAUGUUAUAUAAAAUCUGUCCACAUUUAGGCACAGUCGUCCUGAUUGGCCCAAAACCCAAAUGCAAACGAACCUCCUUUUCUGAGGCUGGACAAUCAGAGAAUAAGGUCAUAUUUCAUCGUUUGAAUCGACUCAGUGGGCCAAUCGUUCUUAGUCCUUCCUAAAAUGUCUUUAUGACAUCAUGCUGAACGCAGACGCUUGGUAAUUACCAGUCAUCCUGCACAGACCGAAAGAAGAAAAUAGUGACACAUUCACUAUUCAAAACACUAAAUCAGUUAAUCCAAGAUCAAGUCAUUUUGUAAAAAAAAAAAAAACAAUCAGAUACAGCUUUGACAACCGCUCAGUUUAAGGUGAGACGAUAACAAUGAUGGUUGUGUUUAAGGUAAAACAUGAGGUUGUGUAUGUAUGUAUGUAUCGUCAAAAUAUAUGAGAGUCAUUUUCAGAGUCCUAAAAAGAAGAGCAGUGUGUUUGCGAGUGGGCCGAGCAUCAAACAGCAUCACUGGGCUGCACACACUCAGCCUGUUUUUCAUUUGAGGGCAAAUAAGGGCUAUCUCUCCAGACAGUGGUUCACCUUAAGUCAACUCCUGGUCGUCCUGACUGAACUGCAGCUCUGUGAAGCAGCAGUGUUAGCACAGCACUGACCAACGUCAUAUAUGUCUAUGUCAACUAUUCUUUUUAGGGACUAGGCUUUUGAUCCUUUAUUUAUUUAUUUAUUUAUUGUAUUAUUAAUUAAUUACUGCACGCAUCCAUGCAAAACAAUAAGAAAUGCAUUUUUUUUAAAAAGAAUAGAGGUACAGAAAAUAAUUCAUUUUCCUAUACCAAAAUGCAUUAAACCAUAAUAUUGACUUUUAUUCUUGAUGCAGUAGAAAAAAAAAUGUUUUUGUUUACUUUCCUACUGAGAUAUAAUUCAAAAAUAUUAGUGUUGUUUGUUAGCAGCCCAGUGAAUCCAAACGUCACCAACACAUCGUUGAUUUCCUUCAUCCCAGCUGUUAAACCGAACCCCUGGUUUGAUCCCAUUGAUGAAAUCCAGGAUCGGUGUUACGCACACGGACAGACACUCCUCCUGGUUACACAACCGCACACACACAUUAACAUUUUAAAAACUCCAUCUGCACAUCCACAUCUAUGCUUCAGUCUCGGACCGUGGAGACAGACAGCAGAGCUGGGGUACAGUCCACCACCAUGUCCACCAUGUCCACACAAAGCAGCGGCGGACAACAGUGAAGUUUACGCAGCUGCAGGGCGCGUGUUUGGAAUGUACAGCGGGAUUGGG
Molecule: long non-coding RNA, 2196 nt
Organism: Cynoglossus semilaevis (tongue sole)
Lineage: Eukaryota; Metazoa; Chordata; Actinopteri; Pleuronectiformes; Cynoglossidae
Exons: 3
Source: RefSeq, a predicted model, not a curated record